RNAcentral lists this ribosomal RNA (66 nucleotides) under uncultured eukaryote. RNAcentral's name for it is "partial small subunit ribosomal RNA". The record is from RNAcentral.
AGAAGUGACUCAUGACUGGGACUAAGUCGUAACAAGGUAACCGUAGGUGAACCUGCAGAAGGAUCA